UUUCUACUGGUGACCGUGUGUCCUUCUUCCUGCCCAUCCCGAAGUGGGGCUUUAUGGUAUCUGAUGGGGGUUCAGGUGAAGGCUCAAGUAGGUCCAAGGUCACGGCAGGGGCUCUGAGACACCCCCCCCACCCCCCCCGGUCUGUACCGCCACCCGACCAGCAAGGCGCCGUGCACCCUCUGUGUGGGGUACUCGCCAGCCUCACUAGGCGUGUUCGAUGGGAACAUAGCCGCGAAUUCUCUAGCUCUGGCCAGCAACGCGAGCCGCGGAGCACUCCGGUCUUGCUGCUGAAGUCACAGCGGGCCCCGAGAAAGGUCUCAGUGGGGAGCGAUGGUCCCCGGGGCGCUUCCUGGAGCGUCAGCAGCGACAUAUGCCAUCUUCGCGUCUUGCCCCUUUGGAAACUCACAAGCAGACAAGGCAGGUCGAAGCCACUCUGACUUUGCACCACCACGCCACAGUUGAGGGACAGCAGUUUCAGGUUCCUAAACGUGUCGUGUGCCCUCGUGUGCCUCAUAUGAGCGGCCAGGUAUUUACGACAUGCGGACGGAUCACUUGAACGAACGGCAGACCUCUGUGGUCACCCUCACCUGCUUUGCUUGAACCUCCCUGCUUCCUUCUCCUUUGACUUGUGUUGGCUUUUAUUUGUGUCUGUGCUUCUGGCUAGACAAUUGUAUUUGCAGUUCCUGCAAUGUUAGACAAACCAGCACUGGAACUGACUCGGCUGUGGCUGGGAGUUUGUGAUUUUAGUGACUCGGAAGACGUCGUCGACGAGAGCCUGUCUGCUCCGCCACCUCGUUCCCAGCAGCGGGACGGGGGUUCCUGAAGGAGGGGUGAGGCUGGUGGCCGCUUUGGCUUACAGAUGGGUUCCUUGGGGCCUGAACAGAUCUUGUCUGGGCCCGGCUUAUCUGUACUGAGGUCUAGUAGCAGAACCACGGAACAGCCCCGUGUGAGGAUUCAAAAGUACUCUCUCCCCUAUAGCAUUAGCCUGAGUACUAGUAACACGGACACUGACAAUAUACUUUUGAUCGCACGCCUCCUUUGGGCGGGAGUGUUGUAAGUCUUCUCCAUCCUGUGAGAGCCCCGGAAGUCAGGUGCAAGACCCGUGCAUGGGGCUCAGAGGAUGGUGGGCAUCCCGUCGGGGCGCACCUAGGACUCUGCCAGGUGGGAACGAGACUGAGGUUGAGGUCUUCUGACUUCAAAGCCCACACUCUAGGCUGCCUUGUUGGGGAAGGCUCUGCACCCCUCAUGGCUGGUAAAACCCCAGCUUUUGAGAAACCCCUCUACCUCUUUUUUUUCUUUUUAAUAUUUAUUUAUUUUUGAGAGAAAGAGAGAGAAAGUGUGAGUAGGGAGGGGGAGAGAGAGAGAGGGAGAAUUGCAAUCAGGCUCCUCACUGUCAGUGCAGAUACUGACUCGGGGCUCAAACUCACGAACUGAGAUCAUGACUUGAGCGAAAUCAGACGCUCAACCGACUGAGCCACCCAGGCGCCCCUCUCUCUACUUUCUUAAGUUGAAACGGGACCACGGUGAUUUAUAGUUCAUCAUCCAAACCAGGACAUUCUGAGAGUGAAAGGGGCACUAUUCACAAUUCCAAGGGACAACAGGUGUGUGCGGGAGUGUCUCGGGUUGACCAGGCUAACCGGCACGUCCUACUUCCUUCAGUGAUGAAAUGCGACCCCACGGCAGAAGCAGCGUGUAGGUACCAGAGUCCCCGAGUGCAGGCCUGGCCUCGGGCAUGGCGGCUGUCCAGACUGCGUGGGAGGGGUGCCUCCAGCUGCUGCGGUGGGGAGGGACACGCAGGCCUGUGUCUCUCCUGUCCUUUCCCGUGAGCAGACUCACGGCACCUAGGGCCACAGACAGACCUGACGUUGCUCCUGCAGCUCCACUAGUGAAGAUGUAGAGGGAAAGUUCCGUAAGAGUUCAGGGGACUUACUUUGUGCCGGCUGCCACGUGAAGUGUGUUCCUCGAAUCCAUUUAAGCUUCCAGCAGUCCUGGGAGAUGCAGGUGCAUUGUUCCUGUUUUCAGAGGGGGAGUUGGCACCGAGUGAGGAAGUAGCUGGCGUCAGAUCCAAGAGUCCGUCCAAAAGCCGUGCAAAUCCACAAGACAGAGAGUAGACUAGCAGCUCCCAGAGCCUGGGGGCAGGGAAGAAUGAAUGAUGCUGACGGGUACAGGGGUUCUUUUGCAGGGGGGAGUAUGAACAUGUUUUGGGAUUAGAUGGUGGUGAUGGUGACACACCCUUGUCAGUGCAUGAAAAUCUGAACUAUAGAUGUUCAAAGUAUGAAUUUCAUGGCAUUUGAAAUAUACCUGAUAAAAAAUAAUAAAAUUUUUAAGAAUCA
Molecule: long non-coding RNA, 2333 nt
Organism: Neofelis nebulosa (Clouded leopard)
Lineage: Eukaryota; Metazoa; Chordata; Mammalia; Carnivora; Felidae
Exons: 2
Source: RefSeq, a predicted model, not a curated record